Molecule: long non-coding RNA, 421 nt
Organism: Ictalurus punctatus (channel catfish)
Lineage: Eukaryota; Metazoa; Chordata; Actinopteri; Siluriformes; Ictaluridae
Exons: 2
Source: RefSeq, a predicted model, not a curated record
GAGGUAAGGUGAAUGCCAUAUGCACAAGGGGAUAAUUGUUUUAUCAUAAUUGCUUUUAUAUUGUUUCUAUAUUAGUUUAUAUAAAGUGAAUGCUGUUGCUGAUCAUGCUGACAAUGUAUAAGGUGACUGUGGGUCUUGUGGCCCUGCUACUGGUCAGCACAGUGAGAGCUGAGGUAGGGUUAUUGCUGUUAAUCAAAAUUAUUAAAGAAAAAUAUAAACCAAUUUAAUUGUUUUUUAAGAAACUGGUGUAAAUAACCAAUUCAAAUAAAAAAUCUAUAUGAAUUGUAAUUAAAACUGUAACGAAAUGAAAUAUGUACGUGUUCGUUGUGAAUAAGUAUUAUGUAUUAUGUAUCACUAUUAAUGUGUAACUGUUUUUUCAUUUGGUUCUUUCCUCAUUGCAAAUAAACUACUGAUAUGAUGA